Molecule: long non-coding RNA, 1982 nt
Filed under: Rattus norvegicus (Norway rat)
Lineage: Eukaryota; Metazoa; Chordata; Mammalia; Rodentia; Muridae
Description: long non-coding RNA NONRATT016823
Source: RNAcentral
GCAGUCAUCUGUUAUGAUGGAGUAUUUCUCAUGUUGAUAAUAUCCUAUUUGAAAAUACUUUAUGCAUUUUAAGAUUUCAGAUGCUGCUUUAUUUCUGUCUUUAGUGCUUUAUCCAAUUAUAUUUUUAAAAUGUUAUAGUGAGGCAAGGUUUAAGACCCAUCUUGUGGCCCAUUUGGUCGAAUGUCUUCUGAAAGUGAAUACCAGUAGAUGACUACUACUUGGGCUGAUAGGAGGACCCCUAAGAACAGGUCCUGAACACUGCGGCCCUCCCCUCUGGUGCCUUGUACUUUCUCCAAUGAGGAUUAUAUUCUUGCAGAAUCUUCCCAACUUCCAAGUCUGACACCAGAACAUCUGGAACGCUUCUGAAAUCAGCCUUGUGUUGUUGCUGAGACUAAAACUGCAGAUAAGGCAGAGUUUGUGCUUUACUCAUAGAUUUUACUCAGGCUUGCUCAGUUUAUCUUUGCUGUUUUUUUUUUUUUUUUCUUAAAGGGAAGGAAGGAAGGAAGGAAGGAAGGUGACUUAACCCAAGUAUUCUGAUUAUCAAAACUGUCAUUCUAUGAGAAAAAAGUAAAUGUGUGCGUGCGUGUGUGUGGGGGUGUUUUUCUUUUUACUUUGAUUCUUGUAAUCCAAAUAUAGAAUUAUAGCUAUUAUUGCUAUUACUUAGCUAUUAUUGCCUUUAUUUAUUUUGUCUUCUGAAGCACUUGACUUUAAUGAUUGUUCUUAAGAAACAGACUUAAUCCAAUUAGUGGUGAAUACUUGAAUUUAACUGAACCUAAACCAAAAGAUCUAAUCCAUUUAGAGUCUCAGACUGAAGGAGAGCGUUUGACUCUCUCAUUAUUCAUCUUAUGACGACGAAAGGAGACUAGUGGAAUGUAAUCAAAACAUUUAAUGUAAUGUAGUGUAAUUUAAUUGUCCAGUACAGAUAGAGUCUGGCAAGUUCUGGUAUGUUUAAAGAUGGGAAUUGAAAUUCCAGUCAAUCAAAUGAUAAAAAUCAAGUUGAUUGUCUUGUGCUUGGUGUGUUUACUUUGAAAGAUAAAGUCACAUAAAAGACAGGCCUUUGUCUUCAAAGCAGCUGAUGUCGCACUGGUAAUGGCUGGCUAAGUUUAUUGCUGUCUCCAUCCUAGACUUGCAAGUGUGUAUUGGUUGUGUAGGAAUGCAAAUGAGUUUAUCGCUUGUGGCUCUUUUACAAGAAAAUGGGCUUUUUUUUUUUUAAAGAGAGAAGACACUUAAAAAACUAUUUUGGAAAUUCACUAAGAAAGGGAUAAACCUCGAGGUAAAUAUUUUUGGCUUUUUGGAUAUUGCUACAAUUCUGAACACAGAUUUUAAACUUGCCAUCAAAAUGAUGGUAGCAUGUAGUUCUGAGUCUUCAUGGAGGCAAUGAGUGUUUCCUGCUUAAAAGGUCAUAUGUAUCAUUGAUCAUUGCUGUUAUCAUCGAUUGAUUAUCAUUGAUCAAUAGAACCGGUUAGUCUGUUCAGAAUACCAAACAUUGAACCAAGAUUUGCCAUUGCCUUUGUUAGCAAUCCUUAUUAGCUGCAGCAUCUGGAGUUCCAACUCUCCACAUCCUUUAUAGAAGGACAAGCAUUGGAAAUAUCCUGCAUACUGCCACUGCAGGCAGCGCCCACCGGGGCUAUAUCUUGCUGUUCUGUGAUCGUAUUUAUUAAAACAAUGACAUUUUCAUUUAUUGAAUGACAAAUUUUUGCUAGAUAUUUUAGAUAUAAGUAUUUUGGCUACGUGGAUUAAUUUAAAUGAGUCUAUUAGGCAUUCUGAUAUUUAACAAGUCUUAAAAUAUUUAUAGAAAAUAAAAGCAAAUUGGUAUAAAUUUUUAAGCAACUCUAUUUUUCUAGAGAAGAUUAGUGACAAUCUGAAUAUGUAGUAUUCUAGAAAACAAACUUUAAAAAAGGAGCAAAAAUAAACUGAUAACAUGCAAGAUCGGGGAUCCUGCAUUCGAUAUUUUAUGUGUGAGACUUAAAAUUUUUCGAGCU